Syngnathoides biaculeatus (alligator pipefish) is the source of this 495-nucleotide long non-coding RNA. RefSeq lists it as uncharacterized. NCBI's taxonomy places the organism in Eukaryota, Metazoa, Chordata, Actinopteri, Syngnathiformes, Syngnathidae. The transcript has 3 exons. The record is from RefSeq and is a predicted model, not a curated record.
CGGGGGGGUCACGUACCGCUGCGGGUCCUGAUAGUAGGAGGAGGGUCCCGCCUGUGAGUGGACAGACGGACGGCGAUGUCACGAGGCGUCGCCACAUCUAAGCCACCCGACUGGGUCACUCGCGUUUUCUUACCUGUUAUGUUACAAAAUAUGAACGAGUUCACCACGACGACAUCGGACCAAUCAGCACCCACCUUGGGCCGGCGGAGGCGGGGCAUACGGGGGAGGAUGGACGUCACUCAUCUGGAAGGACAAAGACGAGAUGAGCGACGGCGUCAUGGCGACUCGUGCGCUCAAUAUGGGAACGGCGGCGGGAGAACAACGUAGCGCUGUCGGACGCGCAUAGCGGGGCUAAUCCAAUUGAGAAUGUAAAAGUCAACAUUUUAAUGGUGGUGGCAAGUAAGCGCAAUAAGAAGACGAUGGCGAGGACAACAAAAAAAUGAAGACGUUACCUUCUUGACGCUCAAGCCCACGAUGUACGUCGGCGCUCUCUCG